This 1299-nucleotide long non-coding RNA is filed under the name Heterocephalus glaber (naked mole-rat). Its description in RNAcentral is "lncRNA (ENSHGLG00100039334.1)". The record is from RNAcentral. Lineage: Eukaryota; Metazoa; Chordata; Mammalia; Rodentia; Bathyergidae.
CUUCUAUAUAAACAUGAGUUUUAGUUUAAAAAGAUGCAAUUAAAUCACCUCUAUUAAAUACAUACAUUUUUAUGUAUGUGGAAAAAUAAGUUUGCAUUUAUCUCAAGAAUAAGUUUCAUAGCAAACAAUUACAGAGUUUAUUCAAUAAGGAAUAUUAAAAUAAUCCCAGUUAGCAAAUAACUUCAACCAUACACAUUGUAAUUAAUCACGUACAUAUUCCCAAAUCCCCAGAAAUAGGAUAUUUAUAGAACAUCUUCUUAAAGCAUGUCUUGGAAAACCAACCAAAACAAUUGAUAAAUUAACUAAAGAGGCAGGCGCAGUGCCACUGAGCUAAAUCCCUGGCCCUUAGAGAUUGUAUAUCCAAAAUAUACAACCAUGUUUGACCUGUACAUAAAAAUUGAAGGAAAUUAAAGUUUCAAAACUUCUGGAAUAUAAUGUUAGCACUUAAGCCAAAAUACUUACCUGCAAAAGAAGAAUAGUUUGAGGUAUUUCCAAUGCUGAAGUAAGUUUCUGAAUGUUAAAUACCACAAGAACGAAAAGACUUCUCUGGGCAUUGACCUCUAGUCUACAGAGGAGGCAGAGCAUGAAGGUCUGCCAGGGCAUUUGCCCGUCUCACCUAUAUUCUUUCUCCCUUAUGAAGCAUAAGCUUCAAGGGAAAAGACCACAUGGAAAAACAUUUCAAGUGAGCUAGGGUUCCCAAGUGCAAUGUUUUAACAAGUGAAAGGAAGAAAUUGUAAUUCUCCUGUCCAGGUCAUGCUUGCCCUCUUUAGACAUGAGCAUUACCUUCCAUGCCUCACAGAUAAGCAUACCCUUUGGAACCAAAGCUGAGCUUGAUCAAACACUAGAAUGGACAAACUGAAUACAUGAACCACCUAAACAAAGAUGGUACUUUAAGCUUUUACACAUGACACAUGAAAAUGAUCAAAUAUUUUGUUUACAUUUAGUCUUUCUUCAUCUUUCUGUGACCCUGAAUCUGAAAGGUUAGCAAGUGAUUACAUUUCUAACCCUUCUUCAUGUAAUCAGCACACACGUACAGCAUUAUAUGUCAAUAUAAUAUCAACACAGCAUCAAUAUUUAAGCAGUAGAUAAAUUUCACAUGAAAGAAGCUCUAUGUAUCAUAUGGACUGGCCUAAAAGAAGCAAACAUAAAAAUGCAAGUUUAACAGUUACAGUGUUGAUAUGAAUCAAUAUACCUAAUAUUUAUAUCCAUCAUAUAUUUUAUAAGUCAUCCAUAGCAAAGAAGCAAAGGACAAAGUCUGUUCUUUUUUUUUUUUUUUUUUUGGUACCAGGGAUCAAACUC